Molecule: ribosomal RNA, 127 nt
Organism: Rhinopithecus bieti (black snub-nosed monkey)
Lineage: Eukaryota; Metazoa; Chordata; Mammalia; Primates; Cercopithecidae
Source: Ensembl
CCCGGUGAGCAUACCACCCUGAACGCGCCCGAUCUCGUCUGAUCUCCGAAGCUAAGCAGGGUCGGGCCUGGUUAGUACUUGGAUGGGAGUGCACACAUUUUUAAAACAACCCUUAACUUUACCAAUU